UACGUAGGGUGCAAGCGUUGUCCGGAAUUAUUGGGCGUAAAGAGCGUGUAGGCGGCCCGAUUAGUCCGCUGUGAAAGUCCAGGGCUCAACCCUGGAAUUCCGGUGGAUACUGUCGGGCUAGAGUCCGGAAGGGGCGAGUGGAAUUCCUGGUGUAGCGGUGAAAUGCGCAGAUAUCAGGAGGAACACCAAUGGCGAAGGCAGCUCGCUGGGACGGUACUGACGCUGAGACGCGAAAGCGCGGGGAGCAAACAGG
Molecule: ribosomal RNA, 253 nt
Filed under: uncultured bacterium
Lineage: Bacteria
Description: partial 16S ribosomal RNA
Rfam family: Bacterial small subunit ribosomal RNA
Source: RNAcentral